RNAcentral lists this ribosomal RNA (257 nucleotides) under uncultured bacterium. RNAcentral describes it as "partial 16S ribosomal RNA". It matches the Rfam family "Bacterial small subunit ribosomal RNA", at positions 359 to 616 of the family's 1533-position model. The record is from RNAcentral.
GGANUUGGUCAUGGACGAGAGUCUGAACCAGCCAUGCCGCGUGCAGGAAGAAGGCCCUCUGGGUUGUAAACUGCUUUUGAUAGGGGCCAAAAUACUCAUGCGUGAGGAAUUGAGAGUACCUAUAGAAUAAGCACCGGCUAACUCCGUGCCAGCAGCCGCGGUAAUACGGAGGGUGCAAGCGUUGUCCGGAUUUAUUGGGUUUAAAGGGUGCGUAGGUGGCCUUAUAAGUCAGUGGUGAAAGUCUGCAGCUUAACUGU